CAAGGAUACCUUUCCUUUUCUCACCUCACCGUUUCGGGCCUAAUUCUCAUCUACCUCCAAUCUGCAACUCCAAUUCCUUAAAUCCACUGUCUCCAUCGAACAUCUCCACCUUCUAAAUCUUGAUCAUCGAUCGAGGCUGUUUUGUUGCAAUUGUAGCCGAAGCCGGCGAAUCAGAAGAAGCCCUUGAUCUCAGACCAAUUUAGACCCGAUCCUUCAAUGUCCAGUACUACGCGGAGAGGAAUACCAGUUUGAAGAAUUUGUGCAGGCGGAUUCCGAACUUCGCUCCCCAGAAGCAGGAGGUCCAAAACAUCACAGUGCACUCCCACUGGUACUGCACUGCUCAGACUUGUUUGGUUUACAAUAGCAAUCCUAAGCUUGAUGUCAACUAUUCUGCCGUGGAAAACUGAAGUUAUCUCGAAGAAAGUAGUCAUUGCACUUGGCAAGAGUGUAGCUGGAAGUAUCAAAGAGUAAGUUCAGAGUAUGGCAUAGGAAUGGAGGUGUCAACAAGUGGUGACAUCUAUAGCUAUGAAAUCCUGCUAUUUGAGAUGCUGAUAGGCAAGAGAUUGAUAUAUGACAUGUUUAAAGACGACCUGAACUUGCAUAAAUUUGUCAAAUAAGGCUUUGGCCUCCUUAUCCUUUUGGAUGGUGAUCAGAGCUGAGUCUUCUAGCCAUCCCAGGUAAUCACUUCAUCUUGAUUUUCUAUCUCCAAUAAAAUACUAUUCGUUCACCCAAUUUUUAGGAGUUGUGUGUUUAAUUUGUUGUCUUUUCUCAGCCAGCUUUUGAGCAACAGCACUUGGAGCCUAUUAUUGAAGAGGAGCUUUUGAACGAGCACAUGGACACUAUUGAAGAGGUUUGACAUGUAAAACAAGAAACUUUCAACUAUGUCAUUUUUUUUGUUUACUGAUAAUCUGAUAUUAGUGUGCUUUGUUUAGUGUACGACUGGCUUUGAUUGUCCAACAAGAUGCUACCAGUCUACUUUGUUCUUGGGAUUUUAUGAUCUGUACCUAAAAUUAUGCCUGACCGGGACGGCUAGAAGACUGGGCUCUGAUCAAGAUGCUACCAGUAGACUUUGUUUGUGGGAUUUUGUGAUUUUUACUAAUUUUGAAUGCUAUGGAAACUUCUCUAAGUAUAUCAUGUCUUUAUUCAUUUGAAAUUCAGCUUCACCCAACCAUUCAAUUACACUGCUCAAUCUCAUCA
Rosa chinensis is the source of this 1197-nucleotide long non-coding RNA. RefSeq lists it as uncharacterized. The record is from RefSeq and is a predicted model, not a curated record. The transcript is spliced from 5 exons. Lineage: Eukaryota; Viridiplantae; Streptophyta; Magnoliopsida; Rosales; Rosaceae.